GCAGGACUAUGGCGCUACAACGCCGCGCCGUCAGGGUGGACUCAGGCACCACCACAGGCAGGGUGGGGUUCGUGGGGCGAUGGGACCCCUGGGGACGGCGCCACGAGCUAGGAGGACCUGUGGGGGGUACUCGGUGACGAGCAAAGUACCUUUGCCUCCAUCUUCUCGACUAGGACGCAUGUUAGACCCUUUUGCCCUCAUGUUGGACUUGUAGGACUUGUUGGACAUGUAUGUUGGACAUGUAUGCACUUGUUACGCGACGUUAUGUGUAUUUCGGACAUGUAUCGAUGGAUUUGAUGAUGUUCAUGUGUGGAUUCAUGUUGAGAUCGAAUCCGAUGAUGAAAUGCGGUUUAUAUGCUAUAUUGUUAUUAUAAACGUGAUCUGUGGUAUAUAUA
Sorghum bicolor (sorghum) is the source of this 395-nucleotide long non-coding RNA. RefSeq lists it as uncharacterized. The record is from RefSeq and is a predicted model, not a curated record. NCBI's taxonomy places the organism in Eukaryota, Viridiplantae, Streptophyta, Magnoliopsida, Poales, Poaceae. The transcript is spliced from 2 exons.